This 764-nucleotide ribosomal RNA is filed under the name uncultured bacterium. RNAcentral's name for it is "bacterial SSU rRNA". It matches the Rfam family "Bacterial small subunit ribosomal RNA", at positions 60 to 811 of the family's 1533-position model. The record is from RNAcentral.
AGUCGAGGGGCAGCAUGGUCUUAGCUUGCUAAGGCUGAUGGCGACCGGCGCACGGGUGAGUAACACGUAUCCAACCUGCCGUCUACUCUUGGCCAGCCUUCUGAAAGGAAGAUUAAUCCAGGAUGGCAUCAUGAGUUCACAUGUCCGCAUGAUUAAAGGUAUUUUCCGGUAGACGAUGGGGAUGCGUUCCAUUAGAUAGUAGGCGGGAUAACGGCCCACCUAGUCAACGAUGGAUAGGGGUUCUGAGAGGAAGGUCCCCCACAUUGGAACUGAGACACGGUCCAAACUCCUACGGGAGGCAGCAGUGAGGAAUAUUGGUCAAUGGGCGAUGGCCUGAACCAGCCAAGUAGCGUGAAGGAUGACUGCCCUAUGGGUUGUAAACUUCUUUUAUAAAGGAAUAAAGUCGGGUAUGCAUACCCGUUUGCAUGUACUUUAUGAAUAAGGAUCGGCUAACUCCGUGCCAGCAGCCGCGGUAAUACGGAGGAUCCGAGCGUUAUCCGGAUUUAUUGGGUUUAAAGGGAGCGUAGAUGGAUGUUUAAGUCAGUUGUGAAAGUUUGCGGCUCAACCGUAAAAUUGCAGUUGAUACUGGAUGUCUUGAGUGCAGUUGAGGCAGGCGGAAUUCGUGGUGUAGCGGUGAAAUGCUUAGAUAUCACGAAGAACUCCGAUUGCGAAGGCAGCCUGCUAAGCUGCAACUGACAUUGAGGCUCGAAAGUGUGGGUAUCAAACAGGAUUAGAUACCCUGGUAGUCCACACGGUAAACGAUG